RNAcentral lists this ribosomal RNA (109 nucleotides) under Bunodophoron melanocarpum. RNAcentral's name for it is "partial 28S ribosomal RNA". The stretch from base 14 to 109 matches the Rfam family "Eukaryotic large subunit ribosomal RNA", at positions 1 to 96 of the family's 3401-position model. Lineage: Eukaryota; Fungi; Ascomycota; Lecanoromycetes; Lecanorales; Sphaerophoraceae. The record is from RNAcentral.
AAUUUUCAAUGAUUGACCUCGGAUCAGGUAGGGAUACCCGCUGAACUUAAGCAUAUCAAUAAGCGGAGGAAAAGAAACCAACAGGGAUUGCCUCAGUAACGGCGAGUGA